This 463-nucleotide ribosomal RNA is filed under the name uncultured bacterium. RNAcentral describes it as "bacterial SSU rRNA". It matches the Rfam family "Bacterial small subunit ribosomal RNA", at positions 100 to 596 of the family's 1533-position model. The record is from RNAcentral.
GGACGGGUGAGUAACACGUAAAGACUUGCCCUGCAGUCUGGGACAACUAUUGGAAACGAUAGCUAAUACCGGAUAUUGCCGCAUGGCGAAAGCUAUAUGCGCUGUAGGAGAGCUUUGCGUCCCAUUAGUUAGUUGGUGAGGUAACGGCUCACCAAGACCGCGAUGGGUAGCCGGCCUGAGAGGGUGAACGGCCACAAGGGGACUGAGACACGGCCCUUACUCCUACGGGAGGCAGCAGUGGGGAAUAUUGGACAAUGGACCAAAGUCUGAUCCAGCAAUUCUGUGUGCACGAUGAGGUCUUAGGAUUGUAAAGUGCUUUCAAUCGGGAAAAAGAAAGUGAUGGUACCGAUAGAAGAAGCGACGGCUAAAUACGUGCCAGCAGCCGCGGUAAUACGUAUGUGCAAGCGUUAUCCGGAUUUAUUGGGCGUAAAGCGCGUCUAGGCGGUCUGGUAAGUCUGAUGUG